This 747-nucleotide ribosomal RNA is filed under the name Bacillus thuringiensis. RNAcentral describes it as "bacterial SSU rRNA". It matches the Rfam family "Bacterial small subunit ribosomal RNA", at positions 53 to 781 of the family's 1533-position model. Lineage: Bacteria; Bacillati; Bacillota; Bacilli; Caryophanales; Bacillaceae. The record is from RNAcentral.
UCAUGCAGUCGAGCGAAUGGAUUGAGAGCUUGCUCUCAAGAAGUUAGCGGCGGACGGGUGAGUAACACGUGGGUAACCUGCCCAUAAGACUGGGAUAACUCCGGGAAACCGGGGCUAAUACCGGAUAACAUUUUGAACUGCAUGGUUCGAAAUUGAAAGGCGGCUUCGGCUGUCACUUAUGGAUGGACCCGCGUCGCAUUAGCUAGUUGGUGAGGUAACGGCUCACCAAGGCAACGAUGCGUAGCCGACCUGAGAGGGUGAUCGGCCACACUGGGACUGAGACACGGCCCAGACUCCUACGGGAGGCAGCAGUAGGGAAUCUUCCGCAAUGGACGAAAGUCUGACGGAGCAACGCCGCGUGAGUGAUGAAGGCUUUCGGGUCGUAAAACUCUGUUGUUAGGGAAGAACAAGUGCUAGUUGAAUAAGCUGGCACCUUGACGGUACCUAACCAGAAAGCCACGGCUAACUACGUGCCAGCAGCCGCGGUAAUACGUAGGUGGCAAGCGUUAUCCGGAAUUAUUGGGCGUAAAGCGCGCGCAGGUGGUUUCUUAAGUCUGAUGUGAAAGCCCACGGCUCAACCGUGGAGGGUCAUUGGAAACUGGGAGACUUGAGUGCAGAAGAGGAAAGUGGAAUUCCAUGUGUAGCGGUGAAAUGCGUAGAGAUAUGGAGGAACACCAGUGGCGAAGGCGACUUUCUGGUCUGUAACUGACACUGAGGCGCGAAAGCGUGGGGAGCAAACAGGAUUAG